Molecule: ribosomal RNA, 253 nt
Filed under: uncultured bacterium
Lineage: Bacteria
Description: partial 16S ribosomal RNA
Rfam family: Bacterial small subunit ribosomal RNA
Source: RNAcentral
UACGUAGGUGGCAAGCGUUGUUCGGAAUUACUGGGCGUAAAGCGCGUGUAGGCGGCUCUUCAAGUCAGACGUGAAAGCCCCGGGCUUAACUCGGGAACUGCGUUUGAUACUGUCGAGCUAGAGUGUGGAAGGGGCGAUUGGAAUUCCGUGUGUAGCGGUGAAAUGCGUAGAUAUCACUUGGAACGCCAAUGGUGAAAACAGCUCGCUGGGAAUGAUCUGACACUGAGACGCGAAAGCCAGGGGAGCGAACGGG